GAUGAAGAACGUAGCGAAAUGCGAUACGUAAUGUGAAUUGCAAAUUCAGUGAAUCAUCGAGUCUUUGAACGCACAUUGCGCCCCCUGGAAUUCCGGGGGGCAUGCCUGUCCGAGCGUCAUUGCUGCCCUCAAGCACGGCUUGUGUGUUGGGCCCCGUCCUCCGAUCCCGGGGGACGGGCCCGAAAGGCAGCGGCGGCACCGCGUCCGGUCCUCGAGCGUAUGGGGCUUUGUCACCCGCUCUGUAGGCCCGGCCGGCGCUUGCCGAUCAACCCAAAUUUUUAUCCAGGUUGACCUCGGAUCAGGUAGGGAUACCCGCUGAACUUAAGCAUAUCAAUAAGCGGAGG
This 344-nucleotide unclassified non-coding RNA is filed under the name soil metagenome. RNAcentral describes it as "partial contains 5.8S ribosomal RNA, internal transcribed spacer 2, and large subunit ribosomal RNA". The stretch from base 1 to 119 matches the Rfam family "5.8S ribosomal RNA", at positions 35 to 154 of the family's 154-position model. The record is from RNAcentral.